This 211-nucleotide long non-coding RNA is filed under the name Elaeis guineensis (African oil palm). RNAcentral's name for it is "long non-coding RNA (EGUI_LNC024269)". Lineage: Eukaryota; Viridiplantae; Streptophyta; Magnoliopsida; Arecales; Arecaceae. The record is from RNAcentral.
GGGCCUGCUUUACCUUUAAAAGAAAUUCUAGAUAGUGGGAUUGAUGGUAUGUCUUUCCUUAAAAAGGGCAUAGCCUGAUUCGAGAUACUCCUUCCUCCAUUCAAGUACAGGAGGAGAGAUUUUUCUUUGUUUCUUCUAUUGACGGAAAGGACUGGGGCUUUGCAUCAUGGGCCGACCUUGGAGAUUGGCAAUCUGAGCUCCACCACUGGGC